AAAACAUUAGCAUUUUAAGUACCUUCUCUUUAUUCUCGGACUAAAAUGAUUUUAGGCCUAUAAACCAUAUCUCGUCAGCCGUCUAUCAAGGUAAAAAAGGUGAGUGCUAUCAAUUGAUCAUUGCUUAUGCACAAUCUAACUUCAACUCUUGGAAAAAGUCAUUUUGUUCUUUUUCUUAUUUUUCUCACAUAGGAAUGUUUAUUGAUAGGUUUCUCCUUUAUCUAAAGAGUUCAAAGUUACUCAAGCAACAACACAAAGAAGCAAUACCUCUGUUCGGCCAGGCAUGAUUGGCUUUCCAGCAAGAAGUUCUGCUAAAAUGCAGCCAGCACUCCAAAGGUCGACACCAGUGCCAUAGGAUGUAGCCCCCAGAAGAAGCUCGGGGGGACGGUACCACAGGGUCACAACUCUACUGGUCAUAGGGUGUUUUUGCUUAGGAUCAUAGAAAGUUGCCAAACCAAAAUCUGCAAUUUUAAGUAUUCCUUGGUUGUCAAUGAGCAGAUUGGAACCCUUGAUAUCACGGUGCAAAACACCUCUGCUAUGGCAAUGCUCAAGCCCAGAUAGCAAUUGCUUCAUAUAACAUUUGAUCUGUCACAUAGAACAUACUGAGAAACAAUCAGCCUAUCAGUACAAUUUUUCCUUGCAUUUUUAAAUGUGAAAGAUUAGUCCCCCCUUCUAUUCUUACUAAUGCUUGAAAAGGUACUACUGUUUCACAUAAUUUCACCAUGAAACCAAGCAAUAAAACUGUAUCAUUU
Molecule: long non-coding RNA, 752 nt
Filed under: Vigna radiata
Lineage: Eukaryota; Viridiplantae; Streptophyta; Magnoliopsida; Fabales; Fabaceae
Description: long non-coding RNA (VRAD_LNC007632)
Source: RNAcentral